GGCCAGGCCGGCAGGGGCGGCGGGCGGCCCUCCUGCGGGGCGUGCCGGGCACGGGUCCACUGGGCGCCCCGGCGAAGCGCGGCCCGUGGGGUCGGCCGGGGCAGGGGGCGGCGCACGGCCGGCCGCUGGUGUCGCCGAGCCUUCCCGUGCGGUUGUGAGCGGCGGCACGGGGGCCUCUCCGGCGGAGCGGCCGGCCCCGGGGCGCUCUGCGCGGGGAGCGGAGGCCGUCCUCUGGAGAGGGGCGCCGGCGUCGUCGGGCGGCUGGCUGACUGAAGGGGCGCACGCGGGGACCCGAGGGGCUGGGACGGCCGCGACGGCGGCGUGCGGUCUGCCGUAGACCCGAUUCUGCCCCAAUUUGGGGUGGCCGCGACCUCGUCACCUGGCUCCAGGACGUGCGACCUCAGCGUGGGCGGCCCGCUCUGCCCGUGGGGGCGUCUGUGGGGAGCAGGGCGCCGCGGUGAGGACACUGCCGGGCGGGCUCCGGGGGGAGGCGGAGACCGGGCGCCCCAGGACCCGAGGGCCGUCCCGCCGCUGUGACGGUCGGUGGCCGCGCGCGGACGCGCACGUCGUUGUGCUUGCUCUCCGCGACACCGGAGGUGCCGUCCCUUCCCGUGCGAGGAAAUCGGGGCUCAGAGGGUCUGGGCGGCUCGCGGGCGGAAGGGUGCGGCGGAGGCGCUGGGAUUAAAGGCGAGCCUGCGUGGCCCGGCCGCGCCGCUCCCCGUGUGGUCUCAGCCUCGGGCGGCUCGCGUCCGCGCCUGUGUGCACAGGAGGUCCCCCGUGAGAGUACUCACAGCGCCGAGUCCCAGCCCCCGCUCCUUGUGGGCUCGCGUCUUAACAGCUCUCCCGGCGGUUCCAUGUCGGUGCCUCAGGGACGGUCCGCACGCAAGGGCUCUGGGCCGAUUUCCCGCCCUGGCUUGAUUGGGUUCUGCCCGGCACCGCGCCUUUCCCUCUCUGAGCAGACUCCUCUCGUCUUCCAGACAUGCGGCGCCCGAGCCCCGGGAGGAAGCCCUGCGCUGGGCGAAGCCAAGACUACCAUGGCUGCCGGAGUCUUGCCUCAAAAGGAACACCCAUAUUCCACUUUGGUGAAUAACAGUGGGUAUGCUGCAAAUAUGAAAGGAAGUUCUGGACGUCCAACACCAAAGUAUACGAAAGUUGGAGAGCGUUUACGGCAUGUCAUUCCUGGACACAUGGCCUGCUCCAUGGCGUGUGGUGGCAGAGCAUGCAAGUAUGAAAAUCCAGCCCGCUGGAGUGAGCAGGAGCAAGCCGUUAAGGGGGUCUACUCAUCCUGGGUCACUGAUAAAAUCCUGGCCAUGGCUCGCCCGUCCACAGAGCUCCUCGAGAGGUACUGCAUCAUCGAGCAGUUCCGGACACAUGGCAUAAAAACAAUCAUCAACCUGCAGCGCCCUGGCGAGCAUGCCAGCUGUGGGAACCCUCUGGAACAGGAGAGUGGCUUCACGUACCUUCCUGAGGCUUUCAUGGAGGCCGGCAUUUAUUUCUACAAUUUCGGGUGGAAAGAUUAUGGUGUAGCAUCCCUUACCACCAUCUUAGAUAUGGUGAAGGUGAUGACGUUUGCCUUACAAGAAGGAAAAGUAGCUGUCCAUUGUCACGCAGGACUUGGUCGAACAGGUGUUUUAAUAGCAUGUUAUUUAGUUUUUGCAACAAGAAUGACUGCCGACCAAGCAAUUAUAUUUGUUCGGGCAAAGCGACCCAAUUCCAUACAAACUCGAGGACAGCUACUAUGUGUAAGGGAAUUUACUCAGUUUCUGAUUCCUCUUCGCAAUGUAUUCUCUUGCUGUGACCCCAAAGCACAUGCUGUCACCUUAGCACAGUAUCUAAUUCGCCAGCGGCACCUGCUUCAUGGUUAUGAGGCACGACUCCUGAAACACGUGCCAAAAAUUAUCCACAUUGUUUGCAAAUUGCUGCUGGACUUAGCUGAGAACAGGCCAGUGGUGACCGAAGAAGUGGCAGAGGUCCCCAGCCUCUCUGCCGAAAUUGAAAAGACCGUUUCUGCGAUGGUUACAAUGCAGCUGGAUAAAGAGUUACUGAGGCACAACAGUGAUGCCUCAGACUCUCUCACCCCCACUGCAGUGACAGCCGAUUUUGAGAAUCAGGAGGUGAUUCUUUCCAGUGAACAAGAGUUUGACCCUCUUUGGAAGAGGCGGAAAGUCGAGUGCCUUCAGCCCCUGACUCGUCUGAAAAGGCGGCUCAGCUACAGUGACUCGGAUUUAAAGAGGGCUGAGUCACUUCUGGAGCAAGGAGGGACUCCGUGGACAGUACCUGCCCAGGUCUUGCCUUGCCAUAACCCCAGGCAGCAGAAGCCCAUAAGCCAUUGUCACUCCCCGCAGACUCCACAACUAGAUUUAAAUAAGGAAGCACUGGUCCGCAAUACCUUUUCUUUCUGGAAUCAGACUAAAUUUGGAGGCCUGGAAGGACUCAAAGAUGACGGGUCCCCAGUUUUCCAUAGGAAGAAUAUUCCGAAGGAAGUACAGCGGAGCAGAACCUUCUCUGGGGGCGUUUCAGGUUCACACAGCCCUGGGGAGCCAGUUUCCCCCAACUUUGCAAACAUCCCUAAGGAGCUAUGCCACUCUCCCCACCAAGUGCCCCACUGCAGGUGUGACGGUCAGGGUGCUUGCUGCCAAGAUGGUGAGACUCACUGCGGCCCUGUGGGCUGUGGCUCCAGUCCCAAAGUACGGGCCUCGACUGGACCCAAACCCCAGGACAGCAAAGAUCUGUCUGAAGUCGCUCCACACACGGCUUUGCAGUCUGAACUGAGUGUUGAAGCAAGGAGAAUACUGGUGGCCAAAGCCCUGGCAAAUUUAAAUGAGUUUGCAGAAAAGGAGGAAGUGAAAAGGAAGGUAGAAAUGUGGCAGAAAGAACUAAAUUCCCGAGACGGAGCUUGGGAAAGAAUAUGUGGCGAAAGGGAUCCUUUCAUCCUGUGCAGUUUGAUGUGGUCUUGGAUGGAGCAGCUGAAAGAGCCUGUGAUAACCAAAGAGGACGUGGACAUGCUGGCUGACAGGCGUGCAGAUGCUGCAGAAGCGCUAUUUCUGUUAGAGAAGCAGGGUCAGCAGCAGACUAUACUUUGCGUGUUGUGCUGCAUAGUGAGCCUGCAGACGAUUCCUGUGGACGUGGAGGAGGCCAUCCUUGCCCGAGCCAUCAAAGCUUUCACUAAGGUUAAUUUUGAUUCUGAAAGUGGACCUAUAGUUUACAACACCCUGAAGGAAAUAUUUAAGCACACACUGGAAGAAAAAAGAAAAAUGGCUAAAGAUAACCCUAAGCCCGAUGUUUCGUGAAGCUGACUUUCCCUUGUGGUGAAAGGUUUCAGACCUGAAGAUCCAGGCGGCAUUUUUGUGCAUAGGUGAACAGGUUGACGUGUGGCGCUGCUUCGUGUCAUAGCACUUUAUUUCAGAUGCUCUUGGUUUGUACUAAGAAUGCUUGUUCCUGUUUAGAGGAAUUAUUUAUUUUAAAAUAUCCUUGAAUUCCAUUUUUGUGUUAUAAAGUUGGUGCCACUUUUAUUUAUUUAACUGAAUUAAUAUUGUUGUAUUAAUAUUUUAAGUAUGUGGUGUUUACAUCUUUAUUCUUUUUGACAUUUUGGAGAAAGUUGUAAUGCUUCUUUCCAAAACAGUUAUUUUGUUGACGGAACUCUUCCUAGAGUUUUUACCAAACAGAUAACUUUAGUAAUAAACCUUCACUGUAUAUCCAUCCCCCUGACACAUGGCCUAAGGAAGUCACCUAGUGUCUUAAAGUGUUUUAUAUUUGUUAAUAAGAAGGCUGUUGAUAGAACAUUUUUAAAAGGUUUUUAAAAAUUUUUGAAAUUUUUUGGUUUUUCUUUUCUUAUAUAAAUAUGGCAAAAUGUUUCAAAGUGUAUUAUUUUUCAGAGUGAUUUAGUUUUACGUUAAAGCAUUGACUGUGAGGUGGUUGGGAUUUUUCACUUGUAGGAAGUAGACUUGCUCUCUAUCAGGCCUCCAGAUGACCUUGCCAACCCUGCUGUCACAGGAGGCAAGAGGGGUUCUCAACACAUCAAGCCUUAUUCCCACUCCCAUGGGCGGCCACACAGCCAAAUAGCAUCCUCACAGAGAAAGCAGGGUCAGUGGUAGGCGGUGUGGGAAGCUGCCCUGAACUGAAGCAGGACUCCACAGAAAGGUUAGUCUCGCAGGGACAGGCUCUGUGCAGCCCCACUGUCUCCGGCACUGCAGCCACUCUCCAGAGACAGCUGUCCCUGCUGACAGUGUGAUAGUGCGAGCUCUGGCCCACACCUCCCAGAACCGCCGUUCCCUAGAUCCAGUGCCUCAGGGCCCUAUCUUUGGCUGCUUUUUUACUGUAAGAAUUAAGAUUUUUAAGUUGAAUUUGACCCACAUAGAUUGCAUUUACCCUACUAGCUUUAGAUAUGAAGUAACCGCCUAAGCUAGUUCCUUGUAGACCAAACUGUCAGUCAGCAAUUGAAGCCAUACCCAUUAUCUAAAUGAAUAUGUGGGGGUAUCAGAGGCCAAGCCACAGAGAGGAUAGUUUUUCCCAAUAAAGGUGAUAUUAAACCUAUUUCAAACUAAAGAACCUACUACUUAAUUGUAAAGACAGAAUUUCAGGGGAAGCAAGACUAAUUUACAGAAAAUGAAAUUGCUCCAACUCCUGCAUUUCCAAAUCAGGCUUUAGCACAUCAAAUAUAUUCUAGUUAUCAUCAGUCUUACUAACUCUGGUGGCAAACCCUAAAUACCGUUUUCUCCCACACUGUUUGAAUUUUCUUAGGAACUAAAAUCCAGUGAAGUUUGAUGAACUGGAUUGCCCAUUUCUGAAAUUUCUCAUUUUCAAGUGCCUGACCUGGGAAAGAAGAGGAGAAAAUAAUUAUGUUUUAUCCAAAGGACUUGAACACGUGCUGCUGUGUUUGUUGGCUUUUCUUUCUUUUCCUCCAUGGACCUGCCAUAUCUAGUGUAACACCUGUCUCAUGGAAGGGACUCAACAACUGUGAGUAUAAGAAAGGGGAGGGAAUAGAGGACAGGAGACGGGAGCUCUGACGUUGUACUCCCAGGUUAAGAGCCCCCAUGCAGACUUCAGCUCUGGCCGAGAUGGAGGAGCACCCUUCCUGCAGGUCCUCAUUUUACAACUAAACAACCCUGGACAUGACAGCAAAACCACAAGCAUAGAAGACCAACAGGUGGAAAGAAGGUGGUGGGCAGCCAAGGGCCUGGGAGCUGAAGGGACACCACUGUGGGGCUCCCCGAGGUCCCUUAUGCUCCCGCUGCAGACAGGGCGCAGCAGAAGCUCUGACCUGGGACUGUCAACAGGCACAACAAUAAAGUUCCAAGGGACACCUGUCCCCCAGGAAACAGGACCAGGAAAAGGGCAUCCUGACACCAGAAGACCCUUCUGACAGCACCUGCUCCAGCCAGACAUCAACGGGGAACCACCGCCUCUUGCACCGUCCUGUCCUCCCAGUAGAAGCAGGUGGUGACUCUGAUUCCCACCACGUAGUGUUACUGGACAAGUAGGGGCAGAUAUCCAUCCCCACCUGGCAGAAGCAGGAUGGUGAGCUCCAGUUCCCCCACUGUAGUGGGAGGGUGGGUCAGCAAGUUGAGACCCCACUCCCACUGAGCAGCAACAAGACUUAUGGCAAUGGAGGCAGGCUGGUUGCACUCCAGUUACUGCCCUUGCCACCCUGGUGUCAGUGACCCAGAGGGAGCUGAGCUCCCACCCCCACCCCCACCAGGGACCAAGGGGACUAACUGAAGUGCAAAGCAGGCCUGGUCAGCAGUCCAGCCCCUCCCCUAUGCCCACCCCUAUCCCCAUGUCAGUGGGGCCCAAUGGGUAGCUGGGCCUCCACAUCCAUCCAGUAUGGACAAGACUAGGAGGGUGCAAGGGGAAGCUAGUCGUGACUCCACUUCCCUUAAUUUCGGGCAGUCAAGUGUCAAGGAAGUGCAAGGCAGGACGUGGCAGCCUUUGUAGUUGGCAUGCUGCCUCCCCACCCUCCUCUCCCCUGACAUUAGCAGGGCCUAGUGGGCAGCUGAGCUUACACCACCUGGAGGCCACAAUGCUGCAGGAGGUGGGAGAGAACUGGGGUGCUGAACUGCCCCUCCCACCCCCCCCCAUCCCCCAGUCUGCAAGGAGGAGGCAGAGUGAGCAGCACUGAGCAGAUACACCCACCCAGUCCCCAUGGCACACCCCAACAGGGACUCUUCAUUACAAAGUAGCCAAAGGAAGUUCUCCAGACAAAAGCAAAUGAUAGAGGGCGAGGCUUGGAACUUCAGAAAGGAAGAAAGGACACUGCAAUGAGCCUGGAUAAUCGACUGUCCUCAUAAACCUAUUAACUCAUACCUAAUGGUUGAAGCAAAACCUCUGAUAUAGUGUCUAGUGUGGACAGAAGAAAUACUAGGGCAAUUAGAUGUAGAAACAAGGAGCAGAGUAUGUAGGGGCAUGAUCAAAAUAAUGUUUCUCUACUUCAUUCAAAGCAGUGAAACAUCAGUGUCAACAGACAAGGCACAGUUAUCCGCACUGAAGGCAUCAUGCAAGUAACACGCUCAGAAACUCUCAUCCAUCAAGGUGGAAUUUAAAACAGUCCAAGUGACCCACAGGAAAGUUUGACUUGAUGGAAGACGGCUGGAUUCUCAUGUCUGCUUCUGCAUUCGAUCCGUUAUACUAUUACACAUCUUGUAACCUCUGGACAAUCCCACUGCACACUCUGAGAGUGAGAAAUGCAUAUAACAUCUUAGAAUUAUAAUGAAAAGUUUGAAGCUUGCAGACGCCCUGGAAGAGUCGCAGCCCCCAGGUAUCUCUGACAGUGUAUGGCCUCUGUCAGUGCUCAGAACUAACAACCCAAAGCUCUUUUCCAGGAACACCUCCCCCUAAGGAGGCGCUGCAGGAGGAGAAUUCCGUUUGAUGAGGAGGGAGGAAUUAGGGGCAAAGGGAGGAGGAGGUCAGUCAAGAGCAGGGAGGGGAACAGAGGUACGAGGUCAUUCUUUUCGUCACCUUUCAAAGACCUCAGAGAAAGAAGCCCUAGAGCCGUCAAGCUGGGAGGGCACUGGGAGCCCCUCACAUACGUGAGCAACGAUGGAAGCCCAGAGUCAAGUCCUAUGUAAAAUGAUUAAAAGAAUAAAAAAGAUUAAUGGAUUCAGUGCAGAAUCACAUCCCUACAAAUAAUGAAAGUGUGCCAGAAAUAAAUGCUUGCAAAAUAAAGAAAGGGUCCUCUAAGAUCAGGGCAGAAUUGUAGAUGAAAUAUUGGCCAUAAAUAUUGUGAAAGGUGGGUGUUGAGCAUGUGGGGAUUCAUUAUCCUACUGUCUCUAUUUUUGCAUACUUUCAAAAUUUCCUGUGAUAUGAAGUUUAAAAAAGAAAAGCAAUAUGUACAACAUGUUAUUUUUUUAAGACUUACUUAAAACUCUAUAUGUGACCUCCCCUUCCGGCUAAGAUGGAGUAACAAGGACUAUAUUUACCUCCCUCCUGAAACAACCAAACACACACACACCACCACCAGCACCACCACCACCGACAGUAUUUAAGAAACCAGACCUCACACACCAAAAGACAGUGACCCUUGCCACAGCUUACUGCCUCAAGAGUUUCCAGACUGGGGCAAAGGAGAGGGAACUCAGACAGCCCGGCAGUUUCCUGCUUGAGGACGUGGAGCUGAGAGCUGGGAGAGACCAGGCAGCUCCAAGCUGCUGGACAGAGCACCACAGGAGGGAGCUGCACAGCCGGGGGCAGAGAGGUCUGCAGAGGGCCCCUCGAGAGCUCAGCUGCAGACUAAUCGCUUCAUGCCUGAGAAAAUCACCAUACAAACAACUUGGAAAAGAAAAAGCUAUGAUCAUCUUCAGAGACAUAGCAAAAGCAUUUGCCAAAAUCCAACAUCCAUUCCUGAUAAAAACUCUCAGCAAACGAAUCCUAGAACAGAACUUCCUCGACCUGCAGAGGGGCAUCCACAGGAAGCCAAUAACUGACGUCACGUGUAAUGAUGAAAGGCCGUCCCGUAAGAUCAGGAGUGGAUCAGAGAGACCCAGCUUGCCACUCCUAUUCAUCACUGUCCCGGGGGUUCUGGCCAGUGCAGACAGGCCAGAAAAAGAAAGAAAGCCAUCAAGAGCAGGAAGUAAAACCGUUUUUAUUCUCAGAUAUGUUCAUCUAGGUAGAAAAUCUGGCGGAAUCCACAGAAAAAAAGCUACGAGAACUUAAUAAAUGAGUUUAGCAAAAUGGGAGGAUACAGUAUGAGUAGGUAAAAAUCAACUGUAUUUCUCUACACUAGCAAUGAACAACCCGAAACUGAAAUAAACAAUGCCAUUUAGCAGAGCAUCAAAAAGAUGAAAUACUAAGGCAUAAAUCUGACAGAAAAUGUGAAAGACCUGUUUUGUGAGUUUCCUGGAGCCGCCAAAACAAAUGAUCACAAACUUGGUGGCUCACAACAGAAGCUUGUUCUCUCACAGUUCUGGAGGCCAGAAGUCUGAAAUCACGGUAUCGCAGGGCUGCACUCCCUCUAAAGGCUCCAGGGGAGAACAGUUCCUGCCUCUUCCAGCUUCUGGGGGCUCCAGUCCCAGGAUGUUUCUUGGCUUGUGGCCACAUCGCUCCAAUCUCUGCUUCCAUCUUCACGUGGCCUUCUCCUCCUCUCUGUUGGUCCUCUGCGUGUCUCUUAUAAGGACACUAGUAGAAAUUUAUAAGCUGAUUCUAAAAUUCAUAUAGAAAGGCAGAGAACCUAGAACAGCCAAAGCAACUUUGAAAAAGAACAAAGUUGGAGGACAAUGCAAGUGUUGGCGAGGUUGCAAAGAAAUGGAAACUCUCAAAACUGCUAGUGGGGAUGUGAAAUGGUACACACUUUGGAAAACAGUUUGGCAAUACCUUAAAAAGUUAAACAUGGACCUACUAUGUGAUCCAGUCUUUCCACUCCUAGGCAUUUACCCAAGAGAAAAAAAAUGUGUAUGUCCCUACACAGACUUGUAUGUGAGUGUUAACAGAAGUUCCAUUUGGAAUAGCCAAAAACUAGAAACAACCCAAAUGUCCACAAACAGGUAAAUGGAGAAUGAAAUUGUGGUGUAUCUGCACGUGGAACACUAUACAGCAAUAAAAAGGGUGAACUCUUGUUAGAUAGAACAGCAGGAAUGACACUCAGCCUAAUUGUGCCGGGCAGAAGAAGCCAGAUGGAGAAAGAGUACAUACUGUAUGAUUCCAUUUAUAUAAAACUCUAGAAAUGCAAAGUAACCUUUUGUGACAGAAAGCGGGUCUGUGGUUGCCUGGGCGUGAGCGGGGAGGGGACGGAGGAUCAUAAAGGGGCGCAAGGAUACUUUUGGGGAGAUGGCAUGUUCACCAUAUUGAUUGUGGCAUUGGCUUCAGGGGUGUAUACAUGUCAGAACUUAUCAAAUUGUACACCUUAAAUAUUGUAUGUCAGUUUAACCCCAAUAAGCUGUUAAAUAAAAUAAAAAUAUAUUCGCAAA
Equus caballus (horse) is the source of this 9398-nucleotide non-coding RNA. The record is from RefSeq and is a predicted model, not a curated record. NCBI's taxonomy places the organism in Eukaryota, Metazoa, Chordata, Mammalia, Perissodactyla, Equidae.